CGAGCGAGCUUGCCUAGAUGAAUUUGGUGCUUGCACCAGAUGAAACUAGAUACAAGCGAGCGGCGGACGGGUGAGUAACACGUGGGUAACCUGCCCAAGAGACUGGGAUAACACCUGGAAACAGAUGCUAAUACCGGAUAACAACACUAGACGCAUGUCUAGAGUUUAAAAGAUGGUUCUGCUAUCACUCUUGGAUGGACCUGCGGUGCAUUAGCUAGUUGGUAAGGUAACGGCUUACCAAGGCAAUGAUGCAUAGCCGAGUUGAGAGACUGAUCGGCCACAUUGGGACUGAGACACGGCCCAAACUCCUACGGGAGGCAGCAGUAGGGAAUCUUCCACAAUGGACGCAAGUCUGAUGGAGCAACGCCGCGUGAGUGAAGAAGGGUUUCGGCUCGUAAAGCUCUGUUGGUAGUGAAGAAAGAUAGAGGUAGUAACUGGCCUUUAUUUGACGGUAAUUACUUAGAAAGUCACGGCUAACUACGUGCCAGCAGCCGCGGUAAUACGUAGGUGGCAAGCGUUGUCAGGAUUUAUUGGGCGUAAAGCGAGUGCAGGCGGUUCAAUAAGUCUGAUGUGAAAGCCUUCGGCUCAACCGGAGAAUUGCAUCAGAAACUGUUGAACUUGAGUGCAGAAGAGGAGAGUGGAACUCCAUGUGUAGCGGUGGAAUGCGUAGAUAUAUGGAAGAACACCAGUGGCGAAGGCGGCUCUCUGGUCUGCAACUG
This 719-nucleotide ribosomal RNA is filed under the name uncultured Bacilli bacterium. RNAcentral describes it as "bacterial SSU rRNA". It matches the Rfam family "Bacterial small subunit ribosomal RNA", at positions 50 to 742 of the family's 1533-position model. Lineage: Bacteria; Bacillati; Bacillota; Bacilli. The record is from RNAcentral.